This 459-nucleotide ribosomal RNA is filed under the name uncultured bacterium. Its description in RNAcentral is "partial 16S ribosomal RNA". It matches the Rfam family "Bacterial small subunit ribosomal RNA", at positions 338 to 795 of the family's 1533-position model. The record is from RNAcentral.
CCUACGGGUGGCUGCAGUGAGGAAUAUUGGUCAAUGGGCGGGAGCCUGAACCAGCCAAGUCGCGUGAGGGACGACGGUCCUAUGGAUUGUAAACCUCUUUUGUCGGGGAACAAAGGCGCCCAAGGGUGGGCGGAUGAGUGUAACCGAAGAAAAAGCAUCGGCUAACUCAGUGCCAGCAGCCGCGGUAAUACGGAGGAUGCGAGCGUUAUCCGGAUUUAUUGGGUUGAAAGGGUGCGUCGGCGGACAGUCAAGUGAGCGGUAAAAAUGCGGUGCUCAACGACGUCCAGCCGUUGAAACUUGCAGUCUUGAUUGGGCGAGAAGUAUGCGGAAUGCGUGGUGUAGCGGUGAAAUGCAUAGAUAUCACGCAGAACUCCGAUUGCGAAGGCAGCAUACCGGCGCCCGACUGACGCUGAGGCACGAAAGCGUGGGUAUCGAACAGGAUUAGAUACCCGGGUAGUC